This 289-nucleotide unclassified non-coding RNA is filed under the name fungal sp. RNAcentral describes it as "partial internal transcribed spacer region". The stretch from base 1 to 46 matches the Rfam family "Eukaryotic small subunit ribosomal RNA", at positions 1786 to 1831 of the family's 1831-position model. Lineage: Eukaryota; Fungi. The record is from RNAcentral.
AAGUCGUAACAAGGUUUCCGUAGGUGAACCUGCGGAAGGAUCAUUAUUGAACAAUCAAACCAAUGUGGGCAAGUUGUAGCUGGCCUCUCGGGGCAUGUGCACGCUUGUCUGCAAUUGUUCUCCAUCCACCUGUGAACAUUUUGUAGAUUUGCGAAGCUUACGGGACGAGGGGCAACCUUCUCAAGUAAUGAUUCGCGGUCUAUGUUUCAUAAACACCAUUGAAUGUCAAAGAAUGUCUUGUUAUAUUCAAAUACAAAUAUAACUUUCAGCAACGGAUCUCUUGGCUCUC